Molecule: ribosomal RNA, 1431 nt
Filed under: uncultured Bordetella sp.
Lineage: Bacteria; Pseudomonadati; Pseudomonadota; Betaproteobacteria; Burkholderiales; Alcaligenaceae
Description: partial 16S-23S ribosomal RNA intergenic spacer
Rfam family: Bacterial small subunit ribosomal RNA
Source: RNAcentral
UCGAUUCUGGCUCAGAUUGAACUCGCUAGCGGGAUGCCUUACACAUGCAAGUCGAACGGCAGCACGGACUUCGGUCUGGUGGCGAGUGGCGAACGGGUGCAAUGUAUCGGAACGUGCCUAGUAGCGGGGAUAAUCCACAGCGAAAGCGCUAAUGCACACGCCCUUCAAGCGGGGACCUUCGGGCCUUACCAGAGCGGUCGAUAUCGGAUUAGCUAGUUGCGGGGUAACGACAUACACGAUCCGUAGCUGGUUUGAGAGGACGACCAGCCACACUGGGACCGGAGACAGCCCAGACUCCUACGGGAGGCAGCAGUGGGGAAUUUGGACAAUGGGAAACCCCUGAUCCAGCCAUCCCGCGUGCGAUGAAGGCCUUCGGGUUGUAAAGCACUUUUGGCAGGGAAAGAAACGGCACGGGAUAAUACCCCGCACCAUCGGCACUCUGGCAGAGCUGGGCACUGCCAAUCACGUGCCAGCAGCCGCGGUAAUGCAGGUGGUAAGCGUUAAUCGGAAUCAUUACAGCGUGCGCAGGCGGUUCGGAAAGAAAGAUGUGAAACUCAGAGCUUAACUGAAACCGCAUUUUUAACUGUCGAGCUAGAGUGUGUCAGAGGGAGGUGGAAUUCGCGUGUAGCGCAGUGAAAUGCGUAGAUAUGCGGAGGAACACCGAUGGCGAAGGCAGCCUCCUGGGAUAACACUGACGCUCAUGCACGAAAGCGUGGGGAGCAAACAGGAUUAGAUACCCUGGUAGUCCCACGCCCUAAACGAUGUCAACUAGCUGUUGGGGCCCUGGCCUUUGGUAGCGGAAGCUAAUGCGGUGAAGUUGACCGGGAGUACUUUAUUCGUAAGAUUAAAAACAAAGAAUUGACGGGGACUCGCAGCAAGCGUGAUGAUGUGGAUUAAUUGAUGCAACCAGCAAAAACCUACCUACCCUUGACAUGUCUGGAAUCCCGAAGAGAUUUGGGAGUGCUCGCAAGAGAACCGGAACACAGGUGCUGCAUGGCUGUCGUCAGCUCGUGUCGUGAGAUGUUGGGUUAAGUCCCGCAACGAGCGCAACCUCGACAAGAAGGUUACGAAAGGGCACUCUAUCGAGACUGCCGGUGACAAACCGAGGAAGGUGGGGAUGACGUCAGUCCUCAUGGCCCUUAUGGGUAGGGCUUCACACGUCAUACAAUGGUCGGGACAGAGGGUCGCCAACCCGCGAGGGGGAGCCAAUCCCAGAAACCCGAUCGUAGUCCGGAUCGCAGUCUGCAACUCGACUGCGUGAAGUCGGAAUCGCUAGUAAUCGCGGAUCAGCUGUCGCGGUGAUAAUGUUCCCGGGUCUUGUACCGCCCGUCACACCAUGGGAGUGGGUUUUACCAGAAGGAGUUAGCCUAACCGUAAGGAGGGCGAUUACCACGGUAGGAUUCAUGACUGGGGUGAAGUCGUAACAAGUAA